UACAGAGGUCCCGAGCGUUGUUCGGAUUCAUUGGGCGUAAAGGGUGCGUAGGCGGCGGGGCAAGUCUGAUGUGAAAUCCUGGGGCUCAACCCCAGAACUGCAUUGGAUACUGCUUUGCUAGAGUACUGGAGAGGGAACUGGAAUUUACGGUGUAGCAGUGAAAUGCGUAGAUAUCGUAAGGAAGACCAGUGGCGAAGGCGGGUCUCUGGACAGUUCCUGACGCUGAGGCACGAAGGCCAGGGGAGCAAACGGG
RNAcentral lists this ribosomal RNA (253 nucleotides) under uncultured bacterium. RNAcentral describes it as "partial 16S ribosomal RNA". It matches the Rfam family "Bacterial small subunit ribosomal RNA", at positions 524 to 776 of the family's 1533-position model. The record is from RNAcentral.